AGAGUUUGAUCCUGGCUCAGAACGAACGUUGGCGGCAUGGAUUAGGCAUGCAAGUCGAGGGAAUCCCCGCGAGGGGGGAACCGGCGUAAGGGGCAGUAAGGCGUGGGUACCGACCCCCGGGUCCGGGAUAGCCCGCCGAGAGGCGGGGUAAUACCGGAUGCCCUCGGGAGAGGAAAGGUCCGCCGCCCGGGGACGGGCCCACGUGGUAUUACCUGGUUGGCGGGGUGACGGCCCACCAAGGGGGCGAUGCCUAGCGGGUGUGAGAGCACGACCCGCGCCACUGGCACUGAGACACUGGCCAGACACCUACGGGUGGCUGCAGUCGAGGAUCUUCGGCAAUGGGGGCAACCCCGACCGAGCGAUGCCGCGUGGGCGACGAAGGCCUUCGGGUUGUAAAGCCCUGUCGGGGGAUGGAAAGGGCAACUUGAUCCGUCCCCGGAGGAAGCUCGGGCUAAGUUCGUGCCAGCAGCCGCGGUAAUUC
Molecule: ribosomal RNA, 481 nt
Filed under: uncultured bacterium
Lineage: Bacteria
Description: bacterial SSU rRNA
Rfam family: Bacterial small subunit ribosomal RNA
Source: RNAcentral